GGAGGGCUGGCCGAGCGGUCUAUGGCGGCUGACUUGAAAUCAGUUGGAGCGUGAGCUCCCGGGGGUUCGAAUCCUCCGCUCUCCGCCA
Molecule: transfer RNA, 88 nt
Filed under: Synergistaceae bacterium
Lineage: Bacteria; Thermotogati; Synergistota; Synergistia; Synergistales; Synergistaceae
Description: tRNA-Ser
Rfam family: tRNA
About the family: Transfer RNA (tRNA) molecules are approximately 80 nucleotides in length. Their secondary structure includes four short double-helical elements and three loops (D, anti-codon, and T loops).
Source: RNAcentral